UUGGAGGGCAAGUCUGGUGCCAGCAGCCGCGGUAAUUCCAGCUCCAAUAGCGUAUAUUAAAGUUGUUGCAGUUAAAAAGCUCGUAGUUGAAUUUCGGGGUCAGCAGGUUGGUCGUGCCAAUGGUAUGCACUGGCCUUGGUGAUUCCUCCCUCUUGUAGAACCGUAAUGCCAUUAAUUUGGUGUUGCGGGGAAACAGGACUGUUACUUUGAAAAAAUUAGAGUGCUUAAAGCAGGCUUGCGCUUGAAUACAUUAGCAUGGAAUAACGGAAUAGGACGCUCGAUUCUAUUUUGUUGGUUUCUAGGAUUGACGUAAUGAUUAAUAGGGAUAGUUGGGGGCAUUAGUAUUCAAUUGUCAGAGGUGAAAUUCUUGGAUUUAUUGAAGACUAACUACUGCGAAAGCAUUUGCCAAGGAUGUUUUCAUUAAUCAAGAACGAAAGUUAGGGGAUCGAAGACGAUCAGAUACCGUCGUAGUCUUAACCAUAAACUAUGCCGACUAGGGAUCGGAUGAAGUUAAUUUUUUAAUGACUCAUUCGGCGCCUUACGGGAAAC
This 549-nucleotide ribosomal RNA is filed under the name uncultured Glomus. Its description in RNAcentral is "SSU rRNA". It matches the Rfam family "Eukaryotic small subunit ribosomal RNA", at positions 548 to 1098 of the family's 1831-position model. Lineage: Eukaryota; Fungi; Glomeromycota; Glomeromycetes; Glomerales; Glomeraceae. The record is from RNAcentral.